Molecule: microRNA precursor, 206 nt
Organism: Oryza sativa Indica Group (long-grained rice)
Lineage: Eukaryota; Viridiplantae; Streptophyta; Magnoliopsida; Poales; Poaceae
Rfam family: MIR812 microRNA precursor family
Source: Rfam
AAUAAAUGUAGUUCUAGCACGGUUCAUAUCUAACAUUUGACCGUUCGUGUUAUUUGAAAAAAAAAUAUGAUCAGUAUUUUACUGUUAUUAGAUAAUAAAACAUGAAUAGUACUUUAAGUGUAACUAUUUUUUUAUUUUUUUAAAAAAUUUUUAAAUAAGACGGAUGAUCAAAACGCUAAACACGGAUAUCUAUAGCUGCACUUAUU